GAGUGAUCUGUCUGCUUAAUUGCGUUUCAUAUUUACGAAUGUCGCUUACGUGAUUGCUGCAGACCUCGCGUCUCUUUAUUGAGUGCGACGCGUCUCUUCAACUCACUCGCACAUUCUCUUGAACGCAACGAGCGUGACCGCAACCUCUUGUUGUGUAUACCAAGUGUGUCGUUUGGCUUUACUGCCACUCGCACUCCAAUGCACGUAUUUUGGUCAC
Molecule: ribosomal RNA, 217 nt
Filed under: Hastigerina pelagica
Lineage: Eukaryota; Foraminifera; Rotaliida; Hantkeninidae
Description: partial 18S ribosomal RNA
Source: RNAcentral